GACCUUGUAGGUCAGACGGUAGAGCAUCGUUCUAGAAAUACGAAGGUCGCGGGUUCGAAUCCCAGCCGCGGUCA
Non-coding RNA from Paramuricea clavata, 74 nucleotides. The record is from the annotation of a GenBank genome assembly. NCBI's taxonomy places the organism in Eukaryota, Metazoa, Cnidaria, Anthozoa, Malacalcyonacea, Plexauridae.